GAUGAACGCUGGCGGCGUGCCUAAUACAUGCAAGUUGAGCGAUGAAGAUUGGUGCUUGCACCUAUUUUGAGAGCAGCGAACGGGUGAGUAACGCGUGGGGAAUCUGCCUUUGAGCGGGGGACAACAUUUGGAAACGAAUGCUAAUACCGCAUAACAACUUUAAACAUAAGUUUUAAGUUUGAAAGAUGCACUUGCAUCACCCAAUGAUGAUCCCCCGUUGUCUUAGCUAGGUGGUGAGGGAAAGGCUCAACAAGGGGAAGAUACAUAGCCGACCUGGGAGGGGGAUUGGCCAACAUGGGACUGAGACACGGCCCAAACUCCUACGGGAGGCAGCAGGAGGGGAUCUUCGGCAAUGGACGAAAGUCUGAACGAGAAAAGCCGCGUGAGGGAAGAAGGUUUUCGGAUCGUAAAACUCGGUUGGUAGAGAAGAACGUUGGUGAGAGUGGAAAGCUCAUAAAGUGACGGUAACUAACCAGAAAGGGACGGCUAACUACGUG
This 497-nucleotide ribosomal RNA is filed under the name uncultured bacterium. RNAcentral's name for it is "partial 16S ribosomal RNA". It matches the Rfam family "Bacterial small subunit ribosomal RNA", at positions 28 to 507 of the family's 1533-position model. The record is from RNAcentral.